GACGAACGCUGGCGGCGUGCUUAACACAUGCAAGUCGAACGGAAAGACCCUGCUUUUGUUGGUUUCUCGAUUGCCGCACGCGUGUGUAACACGUGAGUAUCCUGCCCUUGUCUUUCGGAUAACUUCUCGAAACUGCGGCUCAUACCCGAUAUGAUCUCCUGCUGCAUGUUGUUGGUUGGAAAGUUUCGGCGGUUGUGGAUGUUCUCGCGGCUUAUCCGCUUGUUUGUGUAGUAGUUGCUUACCAAGGGUGUGACGGGUAGCCGGCCUGGGAGGGUGACCGGGGACAAGGGGACUGAGAGAGGGAGCAGAAGCCUAUGGGAGGCAGUAGUGGGGAACAUUGCAGAAUGGGCGGAAGCCUGAGGCAGCAACGCUGCGAGCGGGAUGACGGGUUACGGGUGGUAAACCGAUGUGGAAGGAGACGAGGCGUGAGUGACGGUAAUGGGUAAAGAAGCAACGGCUAACUACGUG
Molecule: ribosomal RNA, 468 nt
Filed under: uncultured bacterium
Lineage: Bacteria
Description: partial 16S ribosomal RNA
Rfam family: Bacterial small subunit ribosomal RNA
Source: RNAcentral